CUCGAAUCAGGCAGGGAUACCCGCUGAACUUAA
This 33-nucleotide ribosomal RNA is filed under the name Megalaria pulverea. RNAcentral describes it as "partial 28S subunit ribosomal RNA". Lineage: Eukaryota; Fungi; Ascomycota; Lecanoromycetes; Lecanorales; Megalariaceae. The record is from RNAcentral.